GGGCGUAUGGUCUAGUGGUAUGAUUUCUGCUUCGCAUGUAGAAGGUCCCCGGUUCAAUCCCGGGUGCGUCCA
Molecule: transfer RNA, 72 nt
Filed under: Phaeoacremonium minimum UCRPA7
Lineage: Eukaryota; Fungi; Ascomycota; Sordariomycetes; Togniniales; Togniniaceae
Description: tRNA-Ala (CGC) (tRNA-Ala-CGC-1-1)
Rfam family: tRNA
About the family: Transfer RNA (tRNA) molecules are approximately 80 nucleotides in length. Their secondary structure includes four short double-helical elements and three loops (D, anti-codon, and T loops). Further hydrogen bonds mediate the characteristic L-shaped molecular structure. tRNAs have two regions of fundamental functional importance: the anti-codon, which is responsible for specific mRNA codon recognition, and the 3' end, to which the tRNAs corresponding amino acid is attached (by aminoacyl-tRNA synthetases). tRNAs cope with the degeneracy of the genetic code in two manners: having more than one tRNA (with a specific anti-codon) for a particular amino acid; and 'wobble' base-pairing, i.e. permitting non-standard base-pairing at the 3rd anti-codon position.
Source: RNAcentral